UACGGAGGGUGCAAGCGUUAAUCGGAAUUACUGGGCGUAAAGCGUGCGUAGGCGGCUCGUUAAGUCAGAUGUGAAAGCCCUGGGCUCAACCUGGGAACUGCAUUUGAAACUGGCGAGCUAGAGUUUGAGAGAGGUAAGUGGAAUUUCAGGUGUAGCGGUGAAAUGCGUAGAGAUCUGAAGGAACACCAGUGGCGAAGGCGACUUACUGGCUUAAAACUGACGCUGAGGUACGAAAGCGUGGGUAGCAAACAGG
This 253-nucleotide ribosomal RNA is filed under the name uncultured bacterium. RNAcentral describes it as "partial 16S ribosomal RNA". It matches the Rfam family "Bacterial small subunit ribosomal RNA", at positions 524 to 776 of the family's 1533-position model. The record is from RNAcentral. RNAcentral also lists the same sequence under 2 other names.